RNAcentral lists this ribosomal RNA (558 nucleotides) under uncultured bacterium. RNAcentral describes it as "bacterial SSU rRNA". It matches the Rfam family "Bacterial small subunit ribosomal RNA", at positions 338 to 915 of the family's 1533-position model. The record is from RNAcentral.
CCUACGGGAGGCAGCAGUGAGGAAUAUUGGACAAUGGAGGAAACUCUGAUCCAGCAAUGCCGCGUGUGUGAUGAAGGCCCUAGGGUUGUAAAGCACUUUCAACGGUGAAGAUGAUGACGGUAGCCGUAGAAGAAGCCCCGGCUAACUUCGUGCCAGCAGCCGCGGUAAUACGAAGGGGGCGAGCGUUGCUCGGAAUUAUUGGGCGUAAAGGGCGCGCAGGCGGUUUGGAUAGUUAGACGUGAAAGCCCUGGGCUUAACCUAGGAACUGCGUUUAAUACUGCCAAACUAGAGAACUAGAGAGGAUAGCGGAACUCCCAGUGUAGAGGUGAAAUUCGUAGAUAUUGGGAAGAACAUCAGUGGCGAAAGCGGCUGUCUGGCUAGUUUCUGACGCUGAGGCGCGGAAGCGUGGGGAGCAAACAGGAUUAGAUACCCUGGUAGUCCACGCCGUAAACGAUGUGUGCUAGAUGUUGGAAGGUUACCUUGCAGUGUCGCAGCUAACGCGUUAAGCACACCGCCUGGGAAGUACGGUCGCAAGAUUAAAACUCAAAGGAAUUGACG